UUGAUCGAACAAUGAACAUUUCAGGUGGGCAAAGAUUGCCCUCCGUUGUUUCCCUAAAAAUUUUCAGGUGGGCAUGCUAGGAAAUUGAAGCCGUACUAGAGUGGCAGUUCUAGAGACCAGGAGAUUCAUGGCGCAUCAAAUCAGAGUCACACAAUCAAAGAUAAUCAUUGAAUAAUGGCAAAUCAAGUACUUCAACAAGCAUUUGAAGAUAUGGGGUUACAUAUGGAUCUUAAAGUUUUCUGGAUGAUUCUUUAUGUUACAUUCAAAUCAUGUCAACUAAAAUGCAGUGGAACAGUAAAUUGACAUUUUCCACAGUUUGCCUUUUUUGUGUCAGAUAUUUGUUGACCAAGUUGGUUUUUUUUUUUUUUUGGUUCAGAUAAACUCCAGCCGACAAGGAAGAUCCAGGAACCUGAAAUAUACUUUAGGGAACAUAACAGCUGUUACCAAUGCUCGAGCCUGAAAGUGAUCCAAAUCUCUCCAGUUUUUUCCUUAGAGGACACAAGGUGGUCAAUACACCAAUGUUUCCUACCAAAUUCCUCUACCUCAAGCACCUGACUGACACCUGACUGACCAUUCAUUUGAUAUCAGGAGUGACCUUUUCCCCCUCCUAUGAUUAUGUUUCUCUGGUUUCUUUCCUUGACGCGUCUGCUUCCUUGGAGACUUUGAUCUUGAAUGUGACUCAGCGACGUAUGGAGCAUGAAUCGAUUUUGGCAGAUUCACAUUUGAGGCAAAUGCCUGAACACCGCCAUGGCUACCUCAAGAGUGUGAAGAUCAGUGGUUUCAGCUCUGCGAAGAACUUGGUUGAACUAUGACAUGUUAUAUUCUCCAGAGUGUGAAGUCACUCGAGUGUUAUCUAAAAACAUUGGACACCAUUUAUGGUGAUCUUAGGUGUUGUCUAAAAACUUUUAGAAGGUGCGAUGCCAAAGUGGAUGGUGUUCUCAUGAGGAUAAAUACAUUCUGGAUAAGGUUCCAAAUC
Molecule: long non-coding RNA, 976 nt
Organism: Phragmites australis (common reed)
Lineage: Eukaryota; Viridiplantae; Streptophyta; Magnoliopsida; Poales; Poaceae
Exons: 3
Source: RefSeq, a predicted model, not a curated record